This 217-nucleotide ribosomal RNA is filed under the name uncultured fungus. RNAcentral's name for it is "partial small subunit ribosomal RNA". The stretch from base 50 to 217 matches the Rfam family "Eukaryotic small subunit ribosomal RNA", at positions 694 to 864 of the family's 1831-position model. Lineage: Eukaryota; Fungi. The record is from RNAcentral.
GGCCUGGUCGGGCGGUCCGCCUUCUGGUGAGCACUGUCUUCGCACCGGGUCUCUUCUUCUGGUGAGCUAGUGUGCUCUUUAUUGGGUGCGCUAGGGAAUCAGGACUAUUACCUUGAAAAAAUUAGAGUGUUUAAAGCGGGCAUUUGCUUGAAUACAUUAGCAUGGAAUAAUGGAAUAGGGCUGCUGCCCCAUUUUGUUGGUUUCUGGGACCGUAGCA